Molecule: ribosomal RNA, 301 nt
Filed under: uncultured bacterium
Lineage: Bacteria
Description: partial 16S ribosomal RNA
Rfam family: Bacterial small subunit ribosomal RNA
Source: RNAcentral
CAGUCGCCGCGGGAAUACGAAGGGGGCUAGCGUUGUUCGGAAUCACUGGGCGUAAAGGGUGCGUAGGCGGAUUCUUAAGUCAGGGGUGAAAUCCCGAGGCUCAACCUCGGAACUGCCUUUGAUACUGGGGAUCUUGAGUCCGGAAGAGGUGAGUGGAACUGCGAGUGUAGAGGUGAAAUUCGUAGAUAUUCGCAAGAACACCAGUGGCGAAGGCGGCUCACUGGUCCGGAACUGACGCUGAGGCACGACAGCGUGGGGAGCAAACAGGAUUAGAUACCCCUGUAGUCCCUUCUCUUAUACA